AGCAGAGUGGUGCAGCGGAAGCAUGCUGGGUCCACAACCCAGAGGUUGAUGGAUCGAUACCAUCCUCUGCUA
RNAcentral lists this transfer RNA (72 nucleotides) under Echinops telfairi (small Madagascar hedgehog). RNAcentral's name for it is "tRNA-Val (CAC) (tRNA-Val-CAC-5-1)". It matches the Rfam family "tRNA". From Rfam's summary of the family: Transfer RNA (tRNA) molecules are approximately 80 nucleotides in length. Their secondary structure includes four short double-helical elements and three loops (D, anti-codon, and T loops). The record is from RNAcentral. Lineage: Eukaryota; Metazoa; Chordata; Mammalia; Afrosoricida; Tenrecidae.